Lemur catta (Ring-tailed lemur) is the source of this 641-nucleotide long non-coding RNA. RefSeq lists it as uncharacterized. NCBI's taxonomy places the organism in Eukaryota, Metazoa, Chordata, Mammalia, Primates, Lemuridae. The transcript is spliced from 5 exons. The record is from RefSeq and is a predicted model, not a curated record.
UGUCUGGGGCGGGGCGGGGAUGGGGGGAGUGAGUCUCUGGCUCUCUCUGCUCCCUGGGGUCUUGCCUCGACCCCCAUCUCCUGAGGUAUCCCCCGCUCGCGUCUGCCGCCCGGAGUGACCCCGCCCCUGCUCUCCCGCAGGUGUUCCACGUGGCCACAGCAUUCGCGUCACAAUGACCUGGCACACAGGAAAGAACCAAACUCUUGUUUAUGGAUUACCCUGCAAUGUACAGAUCACAUGAAGAAAAAGUGUUGGAAUAGGCUAAUGUGGAAAUCACGGUCGUGAAUGUAACAACGUGUCACAGAGGCUAAGUGGCUUCAAAGGCAAUGUCUAAAAGUGAACAAAUAUGUGAGACAAGCAUUAUCUAGUCAGCAUGGCACUGAAAUUCCCUGGGCUCCCAGAGAGCUCCUACUCUUGUGCCAGAUAGCAGCUAUUCAGAAACAAAAGCACACUCCUGAACUACUGAAGCCUCUCUGAGAACCCAGGGAACUGACAACACAUCGGCUGGGGUUCGAGCUCCUCUUUUGUAAACACAGACAGAGGCAGAGUAAAUCUCAAUUUUCAUUUUGUUUGCCGUACUUUCCUGGUUUCCCUCUCAUGGUGAGUCUCACUCUGUUGCCUGGGAGAGUGCCGUGGCGUCA